ACGGGAGGCAGCAGUGGGGAAUAUUAGGCAAUGGGGGCAACCCUGACCUAGCAACGCCGCGUGAAGGAAGAAGGUCUUCGGAUUGUAAACUUCUUUUAUGAGGGACGAAGGACGUGACGGUACCUCAUGAAUAAGCCACCGCUAACUACGUGCCAGCAGCCGCGGUAAUACGUAGGUGGCAAGCGUUAUCCGGAUUUACUGGGUGUAAAGGGCGCGUAGGCGGGGAUGCAAGUCAGGUGUGAAAUCUAUGGGCUCAACUCAUAAACUGCACUUGAAACUGUAUCUCUUGAGUGCUGGAGAGGUAGAUGGAAUUCCUUGUGUAGCGGUGAAAUGCGUAGAUAUAAGGAAGAACACCAGUGGCGAAGGCGAUCUACUGGACAGUAACUGACGCUGAGGCGCGAAAGCGUGGGGAGCAAACAGGAUUAGAUACCCUGGUA
The sequence is a ribosomal RNA, 437 nucleotides long. It matches the Rfam family "Bacterial small subunit ribosomal RNA", at positions 341 to 792 of the family's 1533-position model.